UGGGGAAUAUUGGACAAUGGAGGAAACUCUGAUCCAGCAAUUCUGUGUGUGUGAAGAAGGUUUUAGGACUGUAAAACACUUUUAGUAGGGAAGAAAAAAAUGACGGUACCUGCAGAAGAAGCCCCGGCUAACUACGUGCCAGCAGCCGCGGUAAUACGUAGGGGGCAAGCGUUAUCCGGAUUCAUUUGGCGUAAAGCGCGCGUAGGCGGUUUGUUAGGUCAGGAGUUAAAUCUGGGGGCUCAACCCCUAUCCGCUCCUGAUACCGGCAGGCUUGAGUCUGGUAGGGGAAGGCGGAAUUCCAAGUGUAGCGGUGAAAUGCGCAGAUAUUUGGAAGAACACCGGUGGCGAAGGCGGCCUUCUGGGCCACGACUGACGCUGAGGCGCGAAAGCUAGGGGAGCGAACAGG
RNAcentral lists this ribosomal RNA (406 nucleotides) under Verrucomicrobiota bacterium. Its description in RNAcentral is "Verrucomicrobia bacterium partial 16S ribosomal RNA". It matches the Rfam family "Bacterial small subunit ribosomal RNA", at positions 355 to 776 of the family's 1533-position model. Lineage: Bacteria; Pseudomonadati; Verrucomicrobiota. The record is from RNAcentral.